This 1206-nucleotide long non-coding RNA is filed under the name Cyanistes caeruleus (blue tit). Its description in RNAcentral is "lncRNA (ENSCCEG00000007025.1)". Lineage: Eukaryota; Metazoa; Chordata; Aves; Passeriformes; Paridae. The record is from RNAcentral.
UGCCGUUCGCCGUCGCCCUCUCCACCUUCGGCGGCGUCAACGGUUCCCUCUUCACCUGCUCCAGGUAAAACCCAAAAUCCCCCAAAAAUCCCCAAAAUCCCCAAAAUUCCCCAAAAUCCCCCAAAAUCCCCAAAAUCCCCAAAAUCCCCAAUUUUUUACCAUUUUUUUCUGAUUUUUUCCCCAUUUUUUCCCCAUUUUUUCCACUUUUUCCCCAUUUUCCCCAUUUUUUCCCCAUUUUUUCCAAUUUUUUCCCCAUUUCUUCCCAUUUUUUUCGCAUUUUUUUCCCAAUUUUCCCCAAUUUUUCCCCAAUUUUUUCCCAUUUUUUCCGAUUUUUUCCCCAUUUUUUUCCCAUUUUUCCCCAUUUUUUCCCAUUUUUUCCAAUUUUUCCCCGAUUUUUUCCCAUUUUUUUCUGAUUUUUCCCCAUUUUUUCCCCAAUUUUUUUCCCCAAUUUUUUCCCCAAUUUUUUUCCCAUUUUUUCCCCAUUUUUUCCCAUUUUUUCCCCAAUUUUUCCUCACUUUUUUCCCGCAAUUUUUUCCCAUUUUUUCCAAUUUUUUUGUCAUUUUUAUUCCAAUUUUUUCCCCUCCCCCAUUCCCUCUUCACCUGCUCCAGGUAAAAUCCAAAAAUCCCCAAAAUCCCCAAAAUUCCCAAAUUUGUCACAUUUUUUCCCCAUUUUUUAUGAUUUUUCCCCAUUUUUUCCAUUUUUUCCCCAUUUUUCCCCAUUUUUCCCCAUUUUUUCCCCAAUUUUUACCCCAAUUUUUUCUGAUUUUUCCCCAAUUUUUCCCCCAUUUUUUCCCAUUUUUUCCCAUUUUUUCCCUAUUUCCACAAAAUCCCCCAAGAUCCCCCCAAAAAUCCCAAAAUUCCCCAAUUUUCCCCCCAAAGUCCCAAAAUCUCUCAAUUUUACCCCAAAAUUCCCCAAUUUUACCCCCAAAUUCCCCCAAAAUUCCCAAAAUUCCCCCCAAAAACCCCAAAAACUCUCAAUUUUCCCCCAAAUUGCCCCCAAAAUCCCAAAAUCCCUCAAAAUUCCCCGAAAUUCCCCCUAAAAUCCCAAUUUCCCCCCCAAAAUCUCAAAAUCUCUCCAUUUUACCCCAAAAUUCCCCAGUUUUCCCCCAAAAUUACCCCAAAAUUCCCCCAAAAUUCCCAAUUUUACCCCCAAAUUCCCCAAUUUUACCCCAAAAUUCCCCAAUUUUACCCCAAAAUUCCCCCUAA